Molecule: ribosomal RNA, 376 nt
Filed under: uncultured Glomeromycotina
Lineage: Eukaryota; Fungi; Glomeromycota
Description: LSU rRNA
Source: RNAcentral
UUGAAAGGGAAACGAUUGAAGUCAGUCGUACCAGCGGGAAUCAACCUUUCGAGUGGGGNUUUUGGAGUUUUUUGAAGAGUGUCAAAACCUUUGAGAUUUCAAAAUAUUCGCUCUUUUGGUGUACUUUCUCGUGGGUAGGUUAACAUCGAUUUUGAUCAUCAUAAAAAGAUUGGAGGAAUGUAGCUUCGAUCUUGUAUUGAAGUGUUAUAGCCUUUGGUAAAUGUGAUGAUUAGGAUCGAGGAUUGCAACGAAUACCCUUUUGGGCUAUCCGCCUGAUCUCUGAUACGUGGCCUUGGCAUCGAAAGCUUGCUUAUGGUAUUAAGGUAUUACGGUCAAAAGGUUAGAACGGAUUACAUUCGUUAAGGAUGUUGACGUA